GGGGGGGGGGGGGGGGGGGGGGGGGGGGGGGGGGGCGGGGGGAAGGGGCGGGCGGGUGGGGGGGGGGCGAGGGGGGAAGGGGGGAGGAACACGGGAGUAACCGGCCCGUGACGUUGGGAGAACUGCAGGAAACGGGGGCUCAUAGCGGAGAGGAGCUCCUGCGGCAGGGGGGGGGGUGGAAAGUGUCGGCGGUUGGGGAUGGACUCGCGGCUUAUCAGCUUGUUGGUGGGGUAGUGGCUUACCAAGGCUUUGACGGGUAGCCGGCCUGAGAGGGUGACCGGCCACAUUGGGACUGCGAUACGGCCCAGCCUCCUACGGUAGGCAGCAGUGGGGAAUCUUGCACAAUGGGCGGAAGCCUGAUGCAGCAACGCCGCGUUCGGGAUGACGGCCUUCGGGUUGUAAACCGCUUUCGCCUGUGACGAAGCGUGAGUGACGGUAAUGGGUAAAGAAGCACCGGCUAACUACGUG
RNAcentral lists this ribosomal RNA (468 nucleotides) under uncultured bacterium. RNAcentral describes it as "partial 16S ribosomal RNA". The stretch from base 48 to 468 matches the Rfam family "Bacterial small subunit ribosomal RNA", at positions 39 to 507 of the family's 1533-position model. The record is from RNAcentral.